GAACGAAAAAUAGAUUUCUAUGUUUGGUUACGGUCCAAAAUGAUAUUCGUUUU
Molecule: transfer RNA, 53 nt
Filed under: Steinernema litorale
Lineage: Eukaryota; Metazoa; Nematoda; Chromadorea; Rhabditida; Steinernematidae
Description: tRNA-Arg
Source: RNAcentral